GCCCGGUUAGCUCAAUCGGUAGAGCGUGAGACUCUUAGAGUACACGAAAUCUCAAGGUUGCGGGUUCGACCCCCGCAUCGGGCU
Molecule: transfer RNA, 84 nt
Organism: Metarhizium anisopliae BRIP 53293
Lineage: Eukaryota; Fungi; Ascomycota; Sordariomycetes; Hypocreales; Clavicipitaceae
Rfam family: tRNA
About the family: Transfer RNA (tRNA) molecules are approximately 80 nucleotides in length. Their secondary structure includes four short double-helical elements and three loops (D, anti-codon, and T loops).
Source: Rfam